RNAcentral lists this long non-coding RNA (284 nucleotides) under Gossypium raimondii (Peruvian cotton). RNAcentral's name for it is "long non-coding RNA (GRAI_LNC001473)". The record is from RNAcentral. Lineage: Eukaryota; Viridiplantae; Streptophyta; Magnoliopsida; Malvales; Malvaceae.
GCAAUAAUAGGUAUUCAAAUGGUUUGUUUUAAGGACUAAAUGUGGAGCACAUAGCCUGGAACACAAGCUGUCACACUACCGUGUGACACACACGGCCUGGCUACACGGUCAUGUGUCACUUUUAUUUCAGGUGCAAGUUUCACACAUUUUAAGACACGACUGUGUGUAUCAAGUCAGUGAGUUACACGGUCUCACACACAGUCUGUGACACGGUCGUGUGACCCAAGUCAAUGAGUUACACGGUUUGAGACACCAGCCGGGACACAGCUGUGUGUCCCAUUGUU